GAGGGUUCUAAUGGGGGAGGUUUCCAUUGGGCUUUAAGGUCCGUACCGUCACGAUUAAGGCCCGUACCGUGACGAUUAAGGUCCGUACCGUGACGAUUAGUAAAGGAAAAAGGGUCAAGAUUGCAUUAUGCAGAUUACACCUCUUUACCUGGAGGUGUGUACUUCAGGGCAGCAAGGAGCUGUUGACCAUCAGUCAUCACUCAUCAGGCCAAGUGUUAUCAGAUCCUCAAAGUUCUACAGCUGCACCAUUGAAAGCAUCUUGACGGACUGCAUCACCACUUGGUAUGGCAACUGCUUGGCAUCCGACCGCAAGGUGCUACACGGG
RNAcentral lists this long non-coding RNA (325 nucleotides) under Salmo salar (Atlantic salmon). RNAcentral's name for it is "lncRNA (ENSSSAG00000110369.1)". Lineage: Eukaryota; Metazoa; Chordata; Actinopteri; Salmoniformes; Salmonidae. The record is from RNAcentral.